This 176-nucleotide non-coding RNA is filed under the name Anaerolineaceae bacterium. Its description in RNAcentral is "6S RNA". It matches the Rfam family "6S / SsrS RNA". From Rfam's summary of the family: E. coli 6S RNA was the first non coding RNA to be sequenced, but its function was unknown until recently. It consists of 184 nucleotides that fold into an extended hairpin structure with a large single-stranded internal bulge. The record is from RNAcentral. Lineage: Bacteria; Bacillati; Chloroflexota; Anaerolineae; Anaerolineales; Anaerolineaceae.
AUAGCCCUGCUGUGUGCGUGAUAUCGCCCUCACGUUUUGAGCCAACAUCUUUACAACGGUCUCUUAUUUUGAAGAAAUAACGCGAUAGGCCCGAGCCAAGGCGGCGUUUCCCAAUACGAGACCACCUGCGCAAGCAGGUUCAAAACCUGGCGGUACACGGCAUAAGCGGGGUCUUU